UGGCCGGAAGGUCCGGGUAAUCUUGUGAAACUUUGUCGUGCUGGGGAUAGAGCAUUGCAAUUAUUGCUCUUCAACGAGGAAUGCCUAGUAAGCGCAAGUCAUCAGCUUGCGUUGAUUACGUCCCUGCCCUUUGUACACACCGCCCGUCGCUACUACCGAUUGAAUGGCUUAGUGAGGUCUUUGGAUUGGCUUUAGGGACCCGGCAACGGGACUCUGUUGCUGAGAAGUUGAUCAAACUUGGUCAUUUAGAGGAAGUAAAAGUCGUAACAAGGUUUCCGUAGCUUAAGUCUACGAAGAACAGCAAUGUUCCUUCCGCAGAGUACACUUGCAGAAGCCUUAGUGGCCCGAAAGGGUUUCACCAGCGACUCUAAACAAGUAGGUGGAUUAAACGCUAGUCUCUUUGGAAGAGGCAACACUAUCAAAUUGCGGGAAGAUCCUGUCAGGUCCACAUCACCGCGGCUCAUCGAAAGGUGUAGCGCAGCACCAGGCUAACAACCUUGGGUAUGGUAAUAGUAUGUGGAAUAGGGAGAAUCUGCAGCCAAGCCCCUCUCUUGGGGUGCAGUUCACAGGCCAAAUGGUAGUGGGCACUAAGGUGCUUAAGAUAUGGUCGAGUCCCAAUUGAAAAGUUGGGUACAAGUACUCUGAUUGAUUACAUGCAGUCUAUGCUCAAUCAAAUACAACUAGUUGUAAAUGCAAAUGUUCCGUAGGUGAACCUGC
RNAcentral lists this ribosomal RNA (717 nucleotides) under uncultured Sebacinales. Its description in RNAcentral is "partial 18S ribosomal RNA". The stretch from base 1 to 303 matches the Rfam family "Eukaryotic small subunit ribosomal RNA", at positions 1530 to 1831 of the family's 1831-position model. Lineage: Eukaryota; Fungi; Basidiomycota; Agaricomycetes; Sebacinales. The record is from RNAcentral.